GAUGAACGCUGACAGAAUGCUUAACACAUGCAAGUCUUUGGCGAAGCUGUGCUCGCACAGCCUAGCCAAGGCGGACGGGUGAGUAACGCGUAAGGAACUUGGCCUGCAGUCAGGGAUAACAGACGGAAACGACUGAUAAGACCUGGUAAAGUCAGGCGGACUCAUGUCCAGCCUGAUGAAAAGAGAUGCUGCAGGAGAGCCUUGCGUCCUAUUAGCUUGUUGGUGGGGUAACGGCCCACCAAGGCGAUGAUAGGUAGCCGGCCUGAGAGGGUGGACGGCCACAAGGGGACUGAGAUACGGCCCUUACUCCUACGGGAGGCAGCAGUGGGGAAUAUUGGACAAUGGGGGCAACCCUGAUCCAGCAAUUCUGCGUGCACGAUGAAGGUUUUCGGAUUGUAAAGUGCUUUCAGCAGGGAAGAAAAAAAUGACGGUACCUGCAGAAGAAGCGACGGCUAAAUACGUG
Molecule: ribosomal RNA, 463 nt
Filed under: uncultured bacterium
Lineage: Bacteria
Description: partial 16S ribosomal RNA
Rfam family: Bacterial small subunit ribosomal RNA
Source: RNAcentral